RNAcentral lists this ribosomal RNA (1811 nucleotides) under Escherichia coli p0305293.9. RNAcentral's name for it is "partial 23S ribosomal RNA". The record is from RNAcentral. Lineage: Bacteria; Pseudomonadati; Pseudomonadota; Gammaproteobacteria; Enterobacterales; Enterobacteriaceae.
UCCGCUUGAGAAGAGAACAAGGCUGAGGCCAAACAGCAAAAAGCCAGUGAUAUCGAAUCUGCGUCGUGCGGUGGUGAAAUUGGGCAUAUGUUUGCGCGCGUAAAGAAGGCCCGCAAUACCUAUGGGGAUAUUGAUUAAAAAUAUCCAGUGCCAGGUUGCCCAGGUGACCAGCACGCCGCCAAGAACGGGGCCUAAAAUUGGCCCCACCAGACCCGGCAUGGCGACAAAAUUCAAUACUGGAAGAAGUUCAUUACGAGGAUAAGCGCGCAGUAAGGCCAGCCGAGCAACAGGCAUCAUCAUUGCGCCGCCUAUCCCCUGAAUAACCCGGAAGACAACCAGCUGUGGUAGCGAAUUAGAAAGUGCGCAGGCCAGAGAACCCAAUGUGAACAGACUCACGGCAAGGGUAAAAAUGCGACGCGUACCGAAGCGAUCGGCUAGCCAUCCGCUUACCGGAAUAAGCAUCGCCACCGUCAGCGUAUAACUGAUGAUGGCUGAUUGCAUCGCGAGAGGAGAACGAUUAAGGCUAUGAGCGAUUGCGGGUAAGGCGGUAUUCAGAAUAGUGGCAUCAAGUGCCUGCAUGAAGAAGGCCAUCGCCGCGAUCCACGGCAAACCCGGCAUACUGCGCUUCUUUUUAUCGCUCAUUCAAUGUCCUGUUAUCGGGUUGUCACUUAUCAGGUGAGCGUAGCAGCGCCUGACAAGCUUUAAAUGCCGCGUCGCCAUCGCUUUGGACAAUCGCAUCGACAAUCGCCUGGUGCAGAUCCAGCUUUAUCACUGUGUCGCUGGUAAUUGACGUGAAGUAAGUGUGAUAAACCGAAUGGAAUAGCGAGGCGAAUGAGGUCAAAAACGGAUUGGCGCUCAUUUCAUAGAUAUGCUCAUGCCAGGCCAUAUCGACUUCGAUCCAGCGUUCACGGCGAAAGUUCUCUUUUAAUGCCGCCAUUUCGGCCAUUAACGUAUUGAGAUGCGCCUUCUGUUCCGCGGUGCCAACCGUUGCAGCCAGUAGGCAAGCUUGCGGCUCCAGACAGAUACGCAUAACCAGAAAGUGAUCGAUGACCUGAUGAAAGUUCUCUUCUGUCAUCCACCAGGUAAGCAAUUCCUGAUCAAGAAAAUUCCAGUUUGAUUGUGGCAUGACCCGGGUACCAAUUCGCGGUCGCGGUAAAACCAUCCCUUUUGCCGUUAACGUUUUGACCGCUUCGCGUACCGCUGUACGACUCACUCCAAAUUGCUCGCCCAGCUCAAUCUCACCAGGCAAAAUGGUGCCGGGUUCAUAUUCACCUUUUAAGAUGCGUUGCGCCAGCUUCUCAGCCAGAACAUACGAAAGGUUUUUCUGUGCAGCUAACUGUUGUGCGCUUAAAGGCAUUACUAAUCUUCCUUUUUCUUUUUAUUCCUCCUUAGUAUGCCACCAGGAAGUGUGAUUACGGUUGCAAAAACGGCAAAUUGCUUGUUUUAUGGCACAUUAACGGGGCUUUUGCUGAAAAAAUGCGCGGUCAGAAAAUUAUUUUAAAUUUCCUCUUGUCAGGCCGGAAUAACUCCCUAUAAUGCGCCACCACUGACACGGAACAACGGCAAACACGCCGCCGGGUCAGCGGGGUUCUCCUGAGAAUUCCGACAGAGAAAGCAAAAAUAAAUGCUUGACUCUGUAGCGGGAAAGCGUAUUAUGCACACCCCGCGCCGCUGAGAAAAAGCGAAGCGGCACUGCUCUUUAAUAAUUUAUCAGACAAUCUGUGUGGGCACUCGAAGAUACGGAUUCUUAACGUCGCAAGACGAAAAAUGAAUACCAAGUCUCAAGAGUGAACACGUAAUUCAUUACGAAG